RNAcentral lists this ribosomal RNA (404 nucleotides) under bacterium. RNAcentral's name for it is "partial 16S ribosomal RNA". It matches the Rfam family "Bacterial small subunit ribosomal RNA", at positions 355 to 776 of the family's 1533-position model. The record is from RNAcentral.
UGGGGAAUAUUGGACAAUGGGCGCAAGCCUGAUCCAGCCAUGCCGCGUGAGUGAUGAAGGCCUUAGGGUUGUAAAGCUCUUUCGUCAGGGAAGAUAAUGACGGUACCUGAAGAAGAAGCCCCGGCUAACUUCGUGCCAGCAGCCGCGGUAAUACGAAGGGGGCUAGCGUUGCUCGGAAUCACUGGGCGUAAAGCGCACGUAGGCGGCUUUCUAAGUCAGGGGUGAAAUCCCGGGGCUCAACCCGGGAACUGCCUUUGAUACUGGAGAGCUUGAGUUCGGGAGAGGUGAGUGGAACUGCGAGUGUAGAGGUGAAAUUCGUAGAUAUUCGCAAGAACACCAGUGGCGAAGGCGGCUCACUGGCCCGAUACUGACGCUGAGGUGCGAAAGCGUGGGGAGCAAACAGG